This 445-nucleotide ribosomal RNA is filed under the name uncultured bacterium. RNAcentral's name for it is "partial 16S ribosomal RNA". It matches the Rfam family "Bacterial small subunit ribosomal RNA", at positions 354 to 796 of the family's 1533-position model. The record is from RNAcentral.
GUGAGGAAUAUUGCGCAAUGGAUGCAAGUCUGACCCAGCCAUCCCGCGUGCCGGAAGAAGGCCCUCAGGGUUGUAAACGGCUUUUGACGGUGAAGAAUCGACAGGAUGCGUCCUGUUUUGACGGUAGCCGUUGAAUAAGCACCGGCUAACUCCGUGCCAGCAGCCGCGGUAAUACGGAGGGUGCGAGCGUUGACCGGGUUUAUUGGGUUUAAAGGGUGCGUAGGCUGGAAGGUCAGUCAGCGGUGAAAAGCUGUCGCUUAACGAUAGUCUUGCCGCAGAUACUUCCUUUCUUGGAUGAGGAGGAGGCCACUGGAACGGAUGGUGUAGCGGUGAAAUGCAUAGAUAUCAUCCAGAACACCGAUUGCGAAGGCAGGUGGCUGUACCUUAAUCGACGCUGAUGCACGAAAGCAUGGGGAGCAAACAGGAUUAGAAACCCUUGUAGUCC